AAUUGAAAUGCGCUUCGGUGUUGAAACCAUCGACAUAAAUAUAUGGACAAUGGGUUUCCAUAGACUCCAAUAACAAGUUUUUCUGCUAAAAUGGGAGGUGGCCACAACCGCCAUUUUGACCGUGUCACAGGUUCCGUCAAGCCCAGACAAUUCCAUAAAAGGGAAGAGAGGUGGAGCUGAGGGUGGGGCUGUAAGGCUGGGAUCGACUGACGACACCCGGUCGAAGUAGCUACAAGCUAACCUGAAGCUAACCCAAAGCUAAUGCGGAGGUAGGAGCUAAGCUAACAGAGGUAGCAACCUAGCUACAACCGGAGUUAACUGUGCACAACACCAGAGCUUCUGAGUCAGAGAUACGCCGGGCUGACCGCUGGGUAAAACUGGGUGGAACACAGAGGUCUCCGAGACCUCCACAAGCCGGCAGCCGCACAGCAGACUGGCGCCGCUGCGAUCUGAGAUGUGCAGAGCUGCCGCUGGGGAGAACCGGGUGGAAAGGUUUCCAUCCCUGAGUUCCACAAGCCGGCAGCCCGCGCAGCACACAGAAGCCGCGAUCAGACAGAGAUGCGCCGAGCUGCGGGGACAAGUGGCGUAUUUUGGCGGUUCUGGCUUGCCAUAAGAACCAGCCGUCAGCCCGCGCAGCUAACAGAAGCCGCGAUCAGACAGAUGCGCCGAGCUGCUGGGAGAACCAUCCGUCAGCCCGCUCGCAACAAACAGAAGCCGCGAUCAGACAGAGAUGGACCGCGCUGCGGGGAGGGGAGAAACGGGUGGAAAACAUCGGUCUCCCGAGAGCUCCACAAGCCGAUAGUCGGAACCCAGCUCCACCAACAUGUUAUAUUUCAACCCAUUUUCUAAAGUGCAGCAUUAUGUUAAAUGCACUGGGUUUUACCCUAUUACAUUUAAAUUUCAUGGUUAAACAGUACAUGUUAAAAUCUAAGCUCAGCUCGACAGUGACCUAAAAUACAUAAAUAUAAUUUUACUUACCGAAAAAAAUGAAGUGGAGACUCCUUGGACGCUCUACUAGUGCAAUUAAUGCCACAGCAAGUCAUUUUGUCCAACGAUUGCACAAAAAAUAUCCAAACAAGAAUACACAAACCAAGCCAGACCAAGGCUCUACUGAGGCCUUUCCACGGAGCUAGCUAAAUAUUGUGUGUGUGUGUGUGUGAGUGGGGGGGGGGAUGACACGUCUCACCUUUAUGUUAAUAUUGUUUUAUUUGAUGCACUCCACUCUGAACUGCACUAAUCCAGCAACUGCUGCAUUUUAAUAACUAGUAUUAAAGGUGAAUACACCAAUAUUUGCACAAGAAUAAUUUUUGUUUUAAACUCUCAGUGACACACUUUAUAUGGGGGAUUUGGCAUUUAAUUUUUCUUGGCGUCUGGAAAAACAUCUCCUUCUGCCCCCCUUUAUUUGACUUUCUGCCCCAAGAUCAUUACUGGGCUGGCCCUAUUAAACACGUUCUACACCCCUGCUUAGUAGACUUAAUGAAGUAUUUUUAAGCCAGUAUAAAAAUGACUGAAACACAAAUUUACAUAUUUGGCAUUACUGACCAAUACCUUUGAUUUAAUUUGUUUGUUAAGAACAUCAAGAUGCAUUACAGCCGUUUUCAGCUCUGUCUUGUCAAAUGCACCACGUACGUUAUGAAAAAAGUAACUUUAAAUAUUAAACUGAAAAAGAUGCGAGCUGAAGAAAACCUAGUGUAUAAAAGGUUCCGAAUUUCAUAUAUUACCUUUGUUAAAAUUUGUUGGUUUUAUUUUGGUGGGAAUUCAGGAAGUGACAUGCCUUUAUUUUGAAGAGCCUUUCACAGUGAGCUCACUUCCAGCGCUAGAACUUUCCCUUUUCUUUCCUUGACAAGCGUUCAUUCUCCUGCAAGUCAUGUUGAUGUUGACAGCAUUAUGUUAAUGCAAGAAAACUGUUGUCAAUGCUGUUAAUGAUUACCAUCAACCAAGAUUAAAGAUUUGGAUCUACAGCAAAGGAUGCAUCUAGCCUCUACCGGUAUUCUAACAGAUACACCAUAUUGAUAGCCACCUCACCUGGAAAGAGCUAGCUUUAACCAAACCCUCCUUUACACCUAGGGAGUUCUGAAGAAACGUGAGCAACAGUGAAGCAAGCACAGAGAGAUCCGUUACUGUGUGUGUGUGUGUGUGUGUGCGAGUGUGUGUGUGUGUGCGUACGUGAAUGGGCUGGACGGACUGAGCUCCCGGCUGCAGUUUUGUGUGUAGGGAGGGGCGGGCGCUCUAUGUGACUGGCCAAUCACAGAGCGUGAAGACAAUCAGUUACCCAAUGAGGAUUUUCCUUCAGCACGAUUACAGAUAUUUACGAGUUUUACUCGUUUCAUGCUCGUAUUCGUCAAAAAUGCUUUAUCCGUACAGGAUACUCGUCUGAAAUGAGUUUCCGGCUCAUCCCUAGCUGUAACCACCGUGCCCUGCCUCCUCCUCCUUGCUGCCUGCCGGCUGUGAUCACAAGCAACAACAGAGUAGUUCCCGCUGCUUCUUCGGGACACAGCAAAAAAAAAAAAAUCAAUAAAACUUGGGAUCUUGUAGGCGUGGCGCUGGGAUUUCAGCCGUGGUGGGCCGCCACGGCUACGCCAAUGUAAGGGAAACACUGUUUUUUACCUCAGAGAAAUCUCAACGCCCACACUUUUAAACACUGUGUGUGUGAACGGGUUAUUCCAAACGUUUCAGAAACAAGAAUACUGACCUUAAAACCAAUCAAAACCCGAAUAGUGGCUGUGUGUAAACAAUGUGAGCCCCCCCCCCACACACACACACACAAUAAUUUUAAGUCAGAUGAGAAUUUUUUGCUUCAAUCCCUGAUCUGUGUUUGUGUUUCCUACAGAUGUUCCACAGCUGGUGCUGGUUAAAGAAGAAGCUCCUGAAGAACAGAGUGCUGGUGUGGACCAGCAGGACCCAGAACACCUCCACAUAAAGGAGGAACAGGAGGAGCUCUGGACCAGUCUGGAGGGAGAGCAUCUCUGUUUGAAGGAGGAGACUGAAGCUGUCGGGUUUCCUGUUACUGCUGUUUCUAUAAAGAGUGAGGAUGAUGAAGAGAAACCUCUGGUCUCACAGCUUCAUCAGCAGCAAAUAGAAGACAGAGAUGUUCCAACCAGCAGCUCAGCUGACCAGAUGGCAGCAGAAACUGGUGGAGGAGCAGGAACUAGCAGGAACCCAGAUCUGAACCCUCAUGAACAAACAUCUGAUUCUUCAGAGACUGAAGUUAGUGGAGAUGAUGAUGAUGAUGAUGAAGAUGGUGAUGAUGGUGAUGAUGAUGGUGUGAAUCUGGACUCUGAGCUGUCAGACUCUGGGUCUGAAACUGGAGAUGAAGAUGAUGACUGGAAUGAGAGCAGGUCUUCUGAGUCAGAUG
Molecule: non-coding RNA, 3355 nt
Organism: Nothobranchius furzeri (turquoise killifish)
Lineage: Eukaryota; Metazoa; Chordata; Actinopteri; Cyprinodontiformes; Nothobranchiidae
Source: RefSeq, a predicted model, not a curated record